Molecule: ribosomal RNA, 253 nt
Filed under: uncultured bacterium
Lineage: Bacteria
Description: partial 16S ribosomal RNA
Rfam family: Bacterial small subunit ribosomal RNA
Source: RNAcentral
GACAGAGGCCCCGAGCGUUAGUCGGAAUCACUGGGCUUAAAGGGUGCGUAGGCGGGUUCGUAAGUGUCGUGUGAAAGCCCACUGCUCAACGGUGGAACCGCACGGCAAACUGCGAGUCUUGAAGAAAUUAGAGGUCGCUGGAACGCUUGGUGGAGCGGUGGAAUGCGUAGAUAUCAAGCGGAACGCCGAAGGUGAAGACAGGCGACUAGGAUUUUCUUGACGCUGAGGCACGAAAGCGUGGGGAGCAAACAGG